Molecule: long non-coding RNA, 383 nt
Filed under: Homo sapiens (human)
Lineage: Eukaryota; Metazoa; Chordata; Mammalia; Primates; Hominidae
Description: HSALNT0151924
Source: RNAcentral
GAACCUUAAAGGAAAGGGUUAUAAUUCUUUAAAACUCUUCAAAUAUAAUUCCUAAGGAUGAAUUUAACAAUCAGCUGGUAACUGAGAAGCUGGGAGAUCUGCAAGGAAGGUUCUUGUGAGAGGACGAUGAAGAUGGAUAGCACCGAACCAGGAGAGGAAGGAUAUGAAGAAUGACGGCAUCUCAAAGGGGAGGAGUUACAUGCUUUGUGCAUUGCAAGCAAUGGUGUGCUGGUGAAAUCUUAACAACCAGUUCUCCAGAGAAGAAAAGGGGAACCCUGAUUUGUAGCAUUGGCCAAGGUGGAAAUAGUCCUGCUACACCCCAUUUCAAGUCACAGGAUGCAGUUGAAAAACUGCGCACCUUUCGGUUUGUGACCCAGUAGGAG